CCAAUUUUAGUUUACUAGAAUAUUCUUUUGUUAAUAGAAGGGUUAUUAUUGGU
This 53-nucleotide transfer RNA is filed under the name Histiostoma blomquisti. RNAcentral's name for it is "tRNA-Asn". The record is from RNAcentral. Lineage: Eukaryota; Metazoa; Arthropoda; Arachnida; Sarcoptiformes; Histiostomatidae.